GGGAGCGUCAUCAUGACUCGAUCAUAAAGUUCUGGCUUAUUUUUCUCGGUAAUGUGUAAAUUACUCUUUUAAUUUUUUUUUCCAUCGUCCCUUGAACAAAAACAGUUUGAAAUUGGUCUCAAAUACUAAAUUCCCAUGGAGUCGUCGUCUUCCUAUGAGCUAAAUGCCGCCGUAUCAUCGUGGGAAUUUCUCGUUUUAUUCCUCUUUCGUCCCCUCCUUGCUAUCGCCUUCGUCCUCUUCUUACUUCUCUUAGGUUGGUUCUUUGCUUGGAAAUUAGUGCUGGUUCAUGUCCCUUUGGUCCAAGAAAUCUUCAAUUUGCGGGAGAAACCCGUCAAGCUGAAACCUGAAAAACGGGGGAGGUUGACUCAAUUCUAUAACAACUUGGACUCACAGUCUUCUGCCUCCAAUUGGUGUUCGCACUGGACCAGAAACGGAGCCACUAACCGCUUCCCCUUCGGCAUCAUUCUUCUGACUAGCACUUAUUCUGGAUGUGGACAGUAAGGACAAGAUAAAUCCAAUAUUGGAGAAUGCACCAUCUUAUUUGGGAGUUCGAAAUUACACAUUGAAGGUAAAAAAAAAAGCAACCACUUCCCCGAUGGUGUGAUUAAUCCCAAGAUGACCAGCAACUGUAGAGUCAUGCAACAACUUCAAUUUUUUUCAUCCUUAAAGAUAAGACUGUAUAGGUAGGCUGUAAGCGUAAUGUUGUCCAGGAUUCGAAGCUGAAGCUUCUUGUGCUUUGGGGAGUAUCAGGAGCCAUUCUCUGUAAUCAGCACAUAUAUCUUCAUUCGUGUAUAACAUUUGGGUUAGCGAUUGCAAGGCCAAAUCUUUGCAAUGAAAUCAGAUAAUAACGCGUAGUCAGGGACGAAGAAGAUUAUGGAGCGUUCUGCAGAUGGUCGACACUACUUUGAAAUGCAUUAGUAUGAAUUUGGAGGGAGAAGUUCCCUUUAUUAUUUCUCUAUUUACUUUUACUUUUUGAUAAGUUGAUAUGUUACAAUUGUAAUUAUAUUGUGGUUUCAGUGUAAGGGGUUGAUGAUUCUACUGGAUACCAAGAAAUACAAAAGCUAUGCAAAUUGCUCGGAAACAUUAGAUUUAA
Capsicum annuum is the source of this 1093-nucleotide RNA transcript. RefSeq lists it as uncharacterized. Lineage: Eukaryota; Viridiplantae; Streptophyta; Magnoliopsida; Solanales; Solanaceae. The transcript has 5 exons. The record is from RefSeq and is a predicted model, not a curated record.